GAUGAACGCUGGCGGCGUGCCUAAUACAUGCAAGUCGAGCGAACGGACGAGAAGCUUGCUUUUCUGAUGUUAGCGGCGGACGGGUGAGUAACACGUGGAUAACCUACCUAUAAGACUGGGAUAACUUCGGGAAACCGGAGCUAAUACCGGAUAAUAUUUUGAACCGCAUGGUUCAAAAGUGAAAGACGGUCUUGCUGUCACUUAUAGAUGGAUCCGCGCUGCAUUAGCUAGUUGGUAAGGUAACGGCUUACCAAGGCAACGAUGCAUAGCCGACCUGAGAGGGUGAUCGGCCACACUGGAACUGAGACACGGUCCAGACUCCUACGGGAGGCAGCAGUAGGGAAUCUUCCGCAAUGGGCGAAAGCCUGACGGAGCAACGCCGCGUGAGUGAUGAAGGUCUUCGGAUCGUAAAACUCUGUUAUUAGGGAAGAACAUAUGUGUAAGUAACUGUGCACAUCUUGACGGUACCUAAUCAGAAAGCCACGGCUAACUACGUGCCAGCAGCCGCGGUAAUACGUAGGUGGCAAGCGUUAUCCGGAAUUAUUGGGCGUAAAGCGCGCGUAGGCGGUUUUUUAAGUCUGAUGUGAAAGCCCACGGCUCAACCGUGGAGGGUCAUUGGAAACUGGAAAACUUGAGUGCAGAAGAGGAAAGUGGAAUUCCAUGUGUAGCGGUGAAAUGCGCAGAGAUAUGGAGGAACACCAGUGGCGAAGGCGACUUUCUGGUCUGUAACUGACGCUGAUGUGCGAAAGCGUGGGGAUCAAACAGGAUUAGAUACCCUGGUAGUCCACGCCGUAAACGAUGAGUGCUAAGUGUUAGGGGGUUUCCGCCCCUUAGUGCUGCAGCUAACGCAUUAAGCACUCCGCCUGGGGAGUACGACCGCAAGGUUGAAACUCAAAGGAAUUGACGGGGACCCGCACAAGCGGUGGAGCAUGUGGUUUAAUUCGAAGCAACGCGAAGAACCUUACCAAAUCUUGACAUCCUUUGACAACUCUAGAGAUAGAGCUUUCCCCUUCGGGGGACAAAGUGACAGGUGGUGCAUGGUUGUCGUCAGCUCGUGUCGUGAGAUGUUGGGUUAAGUCCCGCAACGAGCGCAACCCUUAAGCUUAGUUGCCAUCAUUAAGUUGGGCACUCUAAGUUGACUGCCGGUGACAAACCGGAGGAAGGUGGGGAUGACGUCAAAUCAUCAUGCCCCUUAUGAUUUGGGCUACACACGUGCUACAAUGGACAAUACAAAGGGCAGCGAAACCGCGAGGUCAAGCAAAUCCCAUAAAGUUGUUCUCAGUUCGGAUUGUAGUCUGCAACUCGACUACAUGAAGCUGGAAUCGCUAGUAAUCGUAGAUCAGCAUGCUACGGUGAAUACGUUCCCGGGUCU
Molecule: ribosomal RNA, 1372 nt
Filed under: uncultured bacterium
Lineage: Bacteria
Description: bacterial SSU rRNA
Rfam family: Bacterial small subunit ribosomal RNA
Source: RNAcentral